UGACCAUGGAGAAAUCGUUCACUGACACUUUCCAUAAAAAUAUUCCCCAACCUCGCGUGAACUACGCGUAGAAAUGAAGCUACGAAUUUCAUUAGUUCUUCUCAUAUUCCUGAAAAAUUUCUUAUCUCCAGCAGUGCCAAUGUUUUUCUUUCUUUUGUGGCAUGAUCACUGUGCUCCUGUAACAAUUGAAAAAAAAGUUGUUUGUUUUUCCUCAAUAAAGUUUGUCAUUCACUCUGAAGAAGGCCUAAAGCUGGUAACGUCAGCUUUAGAGGCUCUUUAUGGUGGCCAGUUUACAUUAUUAACUCAGUCGAUAAAAACCAAAUCAUCUUUUAACUUCCCCCCACCAAAGCAGCAGCACAGUUUCCUUAGAAACUAACCCCGUUUGAUGAAUUUAGCAAGAGCUUGGGAGAAUAAUGUUUUGAAUAAUAGACGGCACAAAGCAGGUAAGAUAUCAUUUUACUCAAAGUAUAAUUUGGAGGAAAACUUUUAAAAUUCAGUUCCUCGGCAUUAACCCUCGUAUUCACUCCAAUGAUACUAGGAUCAACUGAAGACGAUUUAUGGGACAAGAGAAGAACGAAAAAUCGAUAAAAAAAGUGAUCUUGAGGAUUCAGAGUCAAGUGAAGAAGACUGAGGAUUGCAUUCACUCGUGCAAUUUACGUUAUAAACUUAGUUGAUAAUACUAAAUUACUCUGUUAUACUCUUCCACUGACGCAGCAUCUAAGUUUCUUUACAAAUUUACCCCCUUUAUUAAACAAACGAUUUUUUAUUUGGCGAAAGCCUGUAAGUUAUCAUAUUUGGACACUAAAAGAGCAUUUUUUUUUGGUAAAACGUUUGCACUUGCACUCUGGGGUUCAAUUUUUACCUACUUAUAUGCUGCAUGUGUUAUGGAUCAAUGGGGUGUAAUUUGUAUAAUACGUGCAUCGCAUAUUGUGAAUCAGUUUAGCAUGGAUAAAUGCUUUUCUCUGAAAGGGGCUUCAUUAUUUAAAUUUAGGCAUUUCUUGAAACUGGGAAGUUUUUCAACUAUGUAAAUAGUAAUGAAAAUUUGUUAUAGCCAUUGUCAAUUUUUCUGAGAGCGCUUGUUCACCAUUCGUGGAAAAAAACUCAGAAGUUUAACAUAUGUCCUUUUUCAAUUGUAACUAAACUCUAGACUCGCAAAGGUUGGAGGGUUGUUGAACUGAUAUCAACACAUUAAUCAACGGAAGUACGAUCCAAUAUGAUAUAUUCCACUAAUGUUCCAUAACGUCAAACUGAAAUACAAACAAGAGACUAAUUUAAGCGAUACGAAAUUAAUAAGGCCGUGAACAAUAGUCGCAUUACAAAAAAUACACGAACGCAAGAUAAAACUAACAACAAUCAAGGUACAACUUAGACGAAAUGAAACUAAAGGAAUACAAAGCCACUCUUACCGAUUGACUGGUCAGCGGUUGUCGCGAGCACAGCGUGAAUUUCUUAGCUCUGUUAACUUUACAGUCAAUUUUCUUUAUGAGUUUUCAAACUAAAAUGGAGGCGAUGCAUUAAACACCUCCCCCUUCAGUAAAACAUUUGAAAACAAAGUCAAAUUAAACAUCUUACAGUCUUACUGUU
RNAcentral lists this long non-coding RNA (1584 nucleotides) under Pocillopora damicornis (cauliflower coral). RNAcentral describes it as "uncharacterized LOC113672174". The record is from RNAcentral. Lineage: Eukaryota; Metazoa; Cnidaria; Anthozoa; Scleractinia; Pocilloporidae.